RNAcentral lists this ribosomal RNA (649 nucleotides) under uncultured archaeon. Its description in RNAcentral is "bacterial SSU rRNA". It matches the Rfam family "Archaeal small subunit ribosomal RNA", at positions 1 to 656 of the family's 1478-position model. The record is from RNAcentral.
UUUCCGGUUGAUCCCGCCGGACCUGACUGCUAUCGGAUUGAUACUAAGCCAUGCGAGUCUUUGCAGUAAUGCAAGGCAUACGGCUCAGUAACACGUAGUCAACUUACCCUAUGGACGAGGAUAAUCUCGGGAAACUGAGCAUAAUACUCGAUAGAUCAUAAUGCCUGGAAUGGUUUAUGGUUGAAAUGAUUCGUCGCCAUAGGAUGGGACUGCGGCCUAUCAGCUUGUUGGUGAGGUAAUGGCCCACCAAGGCGAUUACAGGUACGGGCUCUGAGAGGAGAAGCCCGGAGAUGGGUACUGAGACAAGGACCCAGGCCCUAUGGGGCGCAGCAGGCGAGAAAACUUUGCAAUGUGCGAAAGCACGACAAGGUUAAUCCGAGUGAUUUCUGCUAAAGAAAUCUUUUGCAAGUCAUAAAACCACUAGUGAAUAAGGGGUGGGCAAGUUCUGGUGUCAGCCGCCGCGGUAAAACCAGCACCUCAAGUGGUCAGGAGGAUUAUUGGGCCUAAAGCAUCCGUAGCCGGCUCUGUAAGUUUUCGGUUAAAUCCAUGUGCUCAACGCACGGGCUGCCGAAAAUACUGCAUAGCUAGGGAGUGGGAGAGGUAGACGGUACUCAGUAGGAAGGGGUAAAAUCCUUUGAUCUAUUGAUGA